AUUAACGAUAAUUUCAUAUUGAAUUAGGAAAUUAAGACGGGAAAACGAUGUCGUCUACGUUUCUGCUAAACCCUACAAGGGCUCUGGCUUGCACUGGAAACGGAUGGCUUAGGGUUUUGAAUUGGCAGGGUUACUCUCUUGAAUCUGGCUGAUCUCAUCGACAUCGACACAAAAUUCCGAAAUGUUCAAGAAUGAGCAUGGCCUCGUCUCCAAAACCCAGUCUUUUAUCGGACAAAACUACGGGCUUGUACUACACCAAGCAAUGCAACAUCUCGCAGAUGAAAUCUACGAAGAAACCUUAAAUUUGUCUCAUUUCGUCAUGUUCUACCAAUUAAUGCAAUAAAAAUCGAUCCUCUUGUAGAACCAUCUGGGUUUACUCUGCAUUGUCCUUCAGGAGCUGGAAAACAACAAAAGAGGAUCUUUCAAAUCAUAUUUGAUUGCAAAGUAGCUGUUUCCACCUAUAUCGGGACGCUCAAGUCCGUGUAGUGCUUCAAAAAGCAUAGCAUUGCUAGCUUCGGAUGUUUUCCAAGUAUAUAAAUUGGUUGCUGAGUUCUUAAGCAAAGAUUUGGGAGCUAGGAGAGUGGAGAAAGCCACUAAAUAGGUUAAUUCUUUGAUUGGGUGAUUCUUGUAUGUAUACAAGUGUGUGUUAUUGCAAGGAGAUGAGUGUGAAAAGUGAUUCAAAGUUAAUUUAUCGUUUUCAGAUUUGGUUAGUGUCUGGAAGGAUGGGCUUGAAGGCUUCUUGACCACUCACGAGUGAUAAAAUAUGUAAGGAGAUUAGUGUUGGAGGGUCAACAGUGAUAUUCUUGGCUGGAGUUGUUAUUUCUGAGAUAUUCUUGUUGAAGCUGUGCUUGGAUUUACGGAUGGGUAAUUGGGGAGUGGAGUUGGAGAAGGAGCUGAGGAGUUGGAUUGUUGGCUGGGGUUGCGGAGCUUCUUCUUCUUGGAUUUGAAGAAAGUUCUUUGAGAACAGUUCUGUAUGAUGCUGCUAUAUUGGUAGAAUAUUCUUUCCACAGUCCUGAUAGAGCAAUCAGUGUGCCAGGCAAUUGGGAGAGAGAUGUUGCAGUGAAAAGAUUGAUCACUACAAAUGAAGCCGUAGAGCUUUUCAGGACAAAUAGGGACCAAGAAAGAGCUAUUGCUUAUACUAUUUCAUUCUCCAUUUUCCAGACCAUCCCAAAUUAUCAAGUGUGUCAACAGCCAGGUUGGAAUGGAGGAAGAAGCAAGUAGAUUGAAGAGAGCAUCACCUAAAGCUCUGAUAAGUUAGUUAUUGUUUCUUAUUGUUAUAGGUAUCUGCAUCUUGUAGUUCUUGCUUCAAAACAAUCUGUUCCUGCAUCUUAUAUUUCAUGCUUACCUCAACACUUCAACACUAAGAAUCGAGAUUUGAAUCAAAAUCAGACCUUUUAACCAAAUUGAGAAUUGAGAUUUUGUUGAACUUUCAAUCACUGUGAUUCUAAUUUUGAUUUAAAAUUAUAUAAAAAAAAAAGCGAACGAUUCUUGUUCAUCCAGGAGCCGAACGCAACCUAACUUUGACCCCUCUUACCUAUCAGAUGUCACAUGACAUAUUAAAGGAUUUUAUGUAUCGUACAUAUCUUCUAUUCGUCUUGUCUAAUUCUGGAUAUUAGGCCCAUCUCUUUUUUUUUUUUUUUUUUUUUAAAUCAUUUCAUUUAAGGUUUUGAAUUUUCUUUAUAAAAUCUUAGCUAAGCUUAUAUAUAGAGCUAUCUCUUCAGUCUUCUCUCUCCACUCAAUAUGGCCAAUGCAAGCUUUGACCUGGACGAGGCACUCUCUUCUCUCGCUCUGAACUAUAUGGCCAAUGAAAACUUUGAUUUCGAAGAACGUCCAACUUUGCCGCAGGAGCGAAUCACAGCGUCAAAUUCUCUGGUGGAUGGGAUGCCAACGGUAGUUACAGAUGAUGUUUGUAUGGUUUGUAUGGAGGGUUUCGAGUCAAGUAUAGGUGGAAAACGAGUCCCAUGUGGCCACGUCUAUCAUUCUGUGUGCAUCUCCUCCUGGCUCUCCCACAGUAAUUCUUGUCCUUUGUGCCGCUGCAACAUCACCGGUGAGCAAUGAGCAUAUGUUAUUUAAGGCUGUGGCAGUUGUUAGUUUAAUCGUUGAAUAGAAGUUUCAGUUUUGCUUAUGUAAUUGAGGGUUUUGUUCUAAAAUAAAUCUUGACACAGUUAAAUUUGAUACAAUUUUUUCCAAAUA
Molecule: long non-coding RNA, 2193 nt
Organism: Hevea brasiliensis (rubber tree)
Lineage: Eukaryota; Viridiplantae; Streptophyta; Magnoliopsida; Malpighiales; Euphorbiaceae
Exons: 3
Source: RefSeq, a predicted model, not a curated record